Molecule: ribosomal RNA, 479 nt
Filed under: uncultured bacterium
Lineage: Bacteria
Description: partial 16S ribosomal RNA
Rfam family: Bacterial small subunit ribosomal RNA
Source: RNAcentral
GGAUGAACGCUGGCGGCGUGCUUAACACAUGCAAGUCGAACGAGAAGUGAAGACGGAAACCUUCGGGCGGAAGGCUUUAUUUCGAGUGGCGGACGGGUGAGUAACGCGUGGGUAACCUGCCUCAUACAGGGGGAUAACAGUUGGAAACGACUGUUAAUACCGCAUAAGACCACAGCACCGCAUGGUGCGGGGGUAAAAACUCCGGUGGUAUGAGAUGGACCCGCGUUCGAUUAGCCAGUUGGCGGGGUAACGGCCCACCAAAGCGACGAUCGAUAGCCGAUCUGAGAGGAUGACCGGCCACAUUGGGACUGAGACACGGCCCAAACUCCUACGGGAGGCAGCAGUGGGGAAUAUUGCACAAUGGGGGAAACCCUGAUGCAGCGACGCCGCGUGAGUGAAGAAGUAUUUCGGUAUGUAAAGCUCUAUCAGCAGGGAAGAAAAUGACGGUACCUGAGUAAGAAGCCCCGGCUAACUACGUG